RNAcentral lists this ribosomal RNA (1317 nucleotides) under uncultured bacterium. RNAcentral's name for it is "bacterial SSU rRNA". It matches the Rfam family "Bacterial small subunit ribosomal RNA", at positions 83 to 1401 of the family's 1533-position model. The record is from RNAcentral.
GAUAGAUGGCGACCGGCGCACGGGUGAGUAACGCGUAUCCAACCUUCCCCUUAGUAGAGGAUAGCCCGGCGAAAGUCGGAUUAAUACUCUAUGUUGUAUUUUGAGGACAUCUGACGAAUACCAAAGAUUUAUCGCUAAGGGAUGGGGAUGCGUCUGAUUAGCUUGUCGGCGGGGUAACGGCCCACCGAGGCAACGAUCAGUAGGGGUUCUGAGAGGAAGGUCCCCCACAUUGGUACUGAGACACGGACCAAACUCCUACGGGAGGCAGCAGUGAGGAAUAUUGGUCAAUGGGCGUAGGCCUGAACCAGCCAAGUAGCGUGCAGGAAGACUGCCCUAUGGGUUGUAAACUGCUUUUAUGCGGGAAUAAAGUCAGGUACGCGUACCUGUUUGCAUGUACCGCAUGAAUAAGGACCGGCUAAUUCCGUGCCAGCAGCCGCGGUAAUACGGAAGGUCCGGGCGUUAUCCGGAUUUAUUGGGUUUAAAGGGAGCGCAGGCGGAGGAUUAAGCGUGACGUGAAAUGUCCCGGCUCAACCGUGGAACUGCGUCGCGAACUGGUUUUCUUGAGUGAGUGCGACGUCGGCGGAAUUCGUGGUGUAGCGGUGAAAUGCUUAGAUAUCACGAAGAACCCCGAUUGCGAAGGCAGCCGACGAGUCCUUAACUGACGCUAAAGCUCGAAAGUGCGGGUAUCGAACAGGAUUAGAUACCCUGGUAGUCCGCACGGUAAACGAUGGAUGCCCGCUGUCUGCGAUAUACUGUAGGCGGCCAAGAGAAAUCGUUAAGCAUCCCACCUGGGGAGUACGCCGGCAACGGUGAAACUCAAAGGAAUUGACGGGGGCCCGCACAAGCGGAGGAACAUGUGGUUUAAUUCGAUGAUACGCGAGGAACCUUACCCGGGCUUGAACUGCAGGCGAACGAUACAGAGAUGUUGAGGCCCUUCGGGGCGCCUGUGGAGGUGCUGCAUGGUUGUCGUCAGCUCGUGCCGUGAGGUGUCGGCUUAAGUGCCAUAACGAGCGCAACCCCUUUCUCCAGUUGCCAUCAGGCUAUGCUGGGCACUCUGGAGACACUGCCACCGUAAGGUGUGAGGAAGGUGGGGAUGACGUCAAAUCAGCACGGCCCUUACGUCCGGGGCUACACACGUGUUACAAUGGCGGCCACAGCGGGAAGCCACCCAGUGAUGGGGCGCGGAUCCCAAAAAAGCCGCCUCAGUUCGGAUCGGAGUCUGCAACCCGACUCCGUGAAGCUGGAUUCGCUAGUAAUCGCGCAUCAGCCAUGGCGCGGUGAAUACGUUCCCGGGCCUUGCACACACCGCCCGUCAAG